This 380-nucleotide ribosomal RNA is filed under the name uncultured eukaryote. Its description in RNAcentral is "partial 18S ribosomal RNA". It matches the Rfam family "Eukaryotic small subunit ribosomal RNA", at positions 592 to 976 of the family's 1831-position model. The record is from RNAcentral.
CAAUAGCGUAUAUUAAAGUUGUUGCGGUUAAAAAGCUCGUAGUUGGAUUUCUGCUGAGAACGACCGGUCCGCCCUUUGGGUGUGUAUCUGGCUCUUUCUUGGCAUCUUCUAGGUGAACGUUGCUGCACUUGACUGUGUGGAGCGCUACCCAGGACUUUUACUUUGAGGAAAUUAGAGUGUUUCAAGCAGGCAUACGCCUUGAAUACAUUAGCAUGGAAUAAUAAGAUAGGACCUCGGUUCUAUUUUGUUGGUUUCUAGAGCUGAGGUAAUGAUUAAUAGGGAUAGUUGGGGGCAUUCGUAUUUAACUGUCAGAGGUGAAAUUCUUGGAUUUGUUAAAGACGGACUACUGCGAAANCANNNGCCAAGGAUGUUUUCAUNGA